RNAcentral lists this long non-coding RNA (7477 nucleotides) under Physcomitrium patens. RNAcentral describes it as "long non-coding RNA (PPAT_LNC002764)". Lineage: Eukaryota; Viridiplantae; Streptophyta; Bryopsida; Funariales; Funariaceae. The record is from RNAcentral.
GGUAAGCUUGGUGCUACCUCUUUAUUUUCUUUAUUAUUUGCUUAUGAAGAAUGGUGAUUGAGAGAAGUAUUGUUGAAUUGAUAAUCGUAGAAUGGAUUAUGGGUUGAAUUAAGAUGGAAGUAGUAAGCCUCGGUGUUUUAUAGUUUGAUACUUGAUUUCAAAUAGCUAGAAUACAGUCAAUUGUGACACUAACAGACCCAAUUCAUAUAACCAGUCUUUCCUCGUGUUCGAACCCACCUCUAUUAGUUCAAUUGCUUUGGUCUACUGAAGCUUGAAUGCAAAGAAAAUAAUAUUUUGGCAUUGUUUUUGAGGAAAUGAUAACAAUAUGAAAUGUUAGAAAUUGAUUAUAUGGGAGAUGGAAUUAUAUGUUGAAUAAAAAUGUGAGAAGAACCAGUUUUAGGGUUAUAAAUAUGUGAGUUAUAAUUCAAGGCAAUAUUGAUUUUGUAAUGAAGAAUGAAAGAUUAUGAGUAAUAAUCACGGGGGAGGGGGGGAUGGAAGGGAAAGGAAUUAUCAAAGAAUUGAUGGACAAACAAAAGAAAGACAGGAGCAAUUAUGCAUAAGAAAUAGCCUAUGGGAACAAUAAAAAAGAAUUGCAGGUCCAAAAAAAAUCAAAGAACGAAAAAUUCAAAUUCAAAUAAUAAGGAGACCAGUGAUAACACCAAUGGCCGCAUGAGUGCCAGAAGUACUAAAUGGAGUAUAAAUGGGAGCAGUAGGACACCGAACUACUAGUGAGGCACUAUUACCUACUUUUAGUGGUUGGCCCAACUCUGAUCCCGAUCACCAUAUAUCUCAAUUUUUGAUAGCCUACGUGGCUAAUAAUGGUAGAACUGAAGAUAUUUGGUUGAGAUGGUUGUCAGCAACUUUAAAAGAUACAGCUUUUGAAUGGUAUAUUCAGCAACUAGUGGAUAGAUUUCCUAAUUAGGAGGCCUUGAGGAAUACCUUCCUAAUCCAUUUUAGACCAAUUGGAUUUGAAGAUCAGCUUCGAGAAAGUUUUAUGAAUAGUAGAAUAUUUAUGAGGGAAUCAGUAGAGUCCUACUAUGGCUGGAUCGCGGAUGUACUUUGUAAAUGGUCAAAUAAUCAAAUGCUAGAUGUAUUUAUAUUGUCGAUAUUAAUUAACGGUUUGCAUCCAUCAAAAUUAAAAAUGUUUAUAAAAGAGGCUCGACCACCUAUAGUAGAGACAUCAUUGGCACGAGCAAAGGUGUCGGAAGAAUGUCAUUAUGACCAAUUAUUAACAAUAGGGGCCACGAUGAUUCCAAGUUCAGGAAGCCAACAAAUACAACCGAGAAAUAUAUCGAUGGAUAAUUAUCUACAAAUGGCUGCUUCUAAUGUAAAGAAUGUUAUGUUGCAACAACCAAAUAAUGCUACACCACUCCAAUCAAUAACGCCAAUAAUAAUGACACCUUAUUUUACAUCACCGGAGUUGUUCACAAAUGUGACUAUUAAAGAUCCAAAUGAAGCCUUGUUAUUAAAGCUAACAAAGAAAAUGAAAGAAUUGGCUGUGAAUUUGGCUAAAGACAAAGAGAAACGACAUAAGCCUUCUAAUAUGAGACCUAAUGUAUGGUAUAAUAAUUGUAAGGAAAAAGGUCAUUUUGAUAUGAAAUGUCCAUCACCCAGACAAACGGGUGUUCAAUGUACAUUUUACGAAGAAAAGCACCCUAUCCAAAAGUAUUGGCAUUUACAAAAGCAACAACAAUUUAGUAAUCAGACCAUGAUCCCAUCGACUCAGUGAGAAGUCAAUCAAGUUCAAAUGAGAAAUACGUAUGGAUAGAAUGAAAAUUGAUCUAAUUGACAAAAUCAAACAUUCAAUAACUUUCAAAGUUCCAAUUUUACUCAGGGAUCUGCAUCAAAUCCCUAGAACUACGGAAAGGAGCAGUAGAAGUAUCAGCAAUAUGUUCCACCGGCAUCAUAGAACCAAGUAUCCUCUGUACCAAUGGGACAAUUAGGAUCAUUUUGUAAUCCUACAUGGAACAAGCCUAGUAGGUAUAUAUCGAUGGAGACACCCAAUAUGCCAAAUGGAGGUGCAAGAAGACCACUUCAUUGUUUCCAUUGCAGACAGAUUGGUCAUUAUGCCAGUGAAUGUCUCAAUCCCAAAGCCAGUGACGAUUAUGCACCAGUAUGUGUGAAUUGCAAGUAGUUGGGACAUACUUAUCAACAAUAUAAUGCUUCGUUCAAUUUCAAUAAUCGAGAUCAGUAGAUCCAAAGCCAAAGAAAAAUAGAGGAAAUAAAUCAAGAUCCUCAAGAUGCACCAGUUCAUUCGGUAGAAGUAGUCCAAGCUGUCCUUACAAGAAGUCAGUAAAAGGAGAAAGGACCAAUUCAAUAUUUGGGUGAUCUUGAAGCAAAGGGUCAAUUGGACCCAAUUAUGGAGACAUCCAAUCUAGGUCCUCACAUGGAUCCCUAACUCAAUAUAAGACCUGAAUCGGUUGUGCACUUCAAUGAUAUACCAAUUACGGAGGCUUCGGUUCCAUGUCGAGCUAUUUCGUUCUCUACACAGUUUCAAGAAACAUCAUUUUCGUUCAUAGAUCCUCUAAAAGGCAUGAAUUCCAAGGAACCAAUAUCAGCCCCAUUCGAAGAACAAUCUUAUCCAUUGAAAGAACCAAUUUUACAGGCUCCAUCAAAUUCAAUUCCAAGAGCUUUACCAAUUUCCAAUAUAGAGAAAACCAAUUUAUCUACAUCGGUGUCUACGACUGAGAAGAAGAAACAGACAUUGAGAAUUACCAUUAAUAUAGAACCAUAUGAUAUUCUAAAAGAUUUGGGCACCAUACAGUCCACGAUCUCCAUGAAGCAACUAUUGGCAGUAGCACCUGAAUGCCAAAUUAUUUUGAAUUUUUCAUUAAUUCUUUGUAGAUCUUGAGAUAAAGAAAUCUGAGAAGUAAGUUUGAAUCCCGAUCCGGGUGUACCUACGAUUGAUGUUUCAAUUGAUGGAGUAUUGUUAACGGGAGUAUAAGUGGAUGGAGGAUCUAGUGUAAAUCUUAUGAAUGCUGCUACAAUGGAGGAAUUGGAUUUAGAUCACUUAUUGUCUACUACAAAGGUCUUGAGAAUGGUUGACUCCAAUCAAAUUCAAUCUAUGGACAUUUUACAAAGUAUUGAUAUAGUAUUUGUAGGGAUUAUCUACAAAAUUGAUUAUAUUAUUUUUUGAUUGCAAAGCUCUAUAUUAUCAUACCCAAUUUUAUUGGGGCGACAGUAGUUGUAUCAAGCUAAAGCUCGAAAUGACUAGGGCCGUGGUACAUUGACAAUUGGGAAAGGUAAUGAUAAAAUUGUGCUUCAAAUAUACCUUGUCCAAUAUCAUAGAGAAACUUAAGUUGCCAGUUCAGAAUUCAUGUCGGAUUAUGAAGAUGAGUCCACAGAAGAAGGAAUUAGUGCACCUGCCCCAAUUUAUGCUAAUACAAGGCAAGUUGUCCAACACACAAGAAUGAACUGUUAGUGUAGGGGACCGGAAGAGUACUUAGUUCCUCCAGAUGUUAUUGACGAUUCUGAUUAUAUGAUUACAUAUUAGAUGAAUAGACGGGAUGUUAAUCACGUUAGUACUAUGGAACUGGAGUUGGAAAGUUCUAAUGUGUCGGAUUGUAUGAAAGAUUUUAAAAUUAAGCAAAAUAUUAUUUUAGAAAUACUUAAAAUUCCACGAUGUCAACCAAUUAAUUUAGGCACAAGGAAGGCUCCCCAAAUCAUUCAAAUUUACGACGAUAUAAAAGACAAAGAGAAAGAAAUAUGGGUGGAUUACAUUUUAACGCAUAAAACUAAUUUUGCAUAGUUGUAUGCAGAUUUGAAAGGAAUUCCAGCUGAAGUUUGUGAGCAUCGAAUUAUAUUGGAGGCGACCGCUUCACCAGUACACCAAAGACAACAUCGACUUAAUCCAAAAUAGUCACUUAUGGUGAAAGAAGAAUUGGAUAAACUCUUGGAGGUUGGAUUUAUCUAUCCAGUUCCUUUUAGUAAAUUGGUUUCACCAAUUGUUAUGGUACCAAAAAAGAAUGGAAAAGUUUGCAUCUAUCAGAUUUCCAAAAAUUAAAUGUGGCUACCAAGAAGGAUUAUUUUUCUUUACCAUUCACGGAUAGUAUAUUGAAUGCCAUCGCUAGACAUGAAUGUUAUUCAUUUCUUGAUAGAUUCUUUAGUUAUAAUCAAGUUAAGAUUGUAAAAGCAGACCAGUUAAAAACUACUUUUACUACGGAUUGGGGGAUCUUCGCCUGUAAGGUUAUGCCGUUUGGGCUUUGUAAUGCACCACCUACAUUUUAAAGGGUAAUGAUGCAAGCAUUCCAAGAUUAUCUAUAAAUUUCAAUGGAAAUAUUUCUAGAUGAUUUUUGUACAUUUAGUACGAGAGCCAAGCAUUUAAAAUGUCUAAGUCAAUGUUUGAAUCAAUGUGCCAAAUAUGAAAUUUCUUUAAAUUCAGAAAAGUACCAAUUUGGUGUGCCUUCUAGUAAACUAUUAAGUCAUAUAGUUUCAAUGGCAGGCUUUACUAUAGAUCCGGAUAAAAUAAAGAUUAUAGUAGAAUUAAAGCAACCAAACACUGUUACAGGUGUUCAAGUAUUUGUCAGCCAUAUCAGUUAUUAUCAGCGAUUUAUCUAUCUAUUCGCAGUUAUAUAUCUUCCCUUAACAAAUCUCUUGAAGAAACCACCAACCAAUGGGACCAAUCCAUUUUGGACAAAGAAAUGUACAAUUGCAUUCGAAACAUUGAAACAAAAAUUGGUUUCAGCACCAAUAUUGGUAGCACCUUGUUGGACAAAAUCAUUCCAAGUUUAUGUGGAUGCAUCUAAUGUCGCGAUUGAUUCUAUGCUAAGCCAGAAAGAUGAUCGGGAUUUUGAUCACCCUAUUUAUUAUGCAAGUCAUCAAUUCAUAGCACUUGAUAGAAAUUAUACAACAAUUGAAAGAGAAACAUUGAGAAUGAUUUAUUUUGUACAAAAGUUUCGACAUUAUCUUCUUGAUUAUAAAUUUGUUUUCCAUAUCGACCAUGAUGCUUUAAAAUAUAUGAUUAAUAAGCCUCAAUUGAAUGGUCAUGUUGCACGAUGGGUUCUACUCUUGCAAGAAUUUAACUUUACUAUUGAGGUAAGACCAGGAAAAUUACAUUCCAAUGUGGACCAUUUAUCUCGAUUAUCCAAUAUAUUGGAUAAUGAAUCCAUUAACGAUGCACUACCCAAUGCGGAACUGUUUGUGAUAGAUGUAAUUACUUCGAAGUAUAGUGAAAUAAUUCAAUACUUGACAUUUCAAACCUUUCCAUUCAAUUUCAAUGAAAAGCUUAAAUGAUGCUUAAUAUUAAAAUGUGCACCGUAUACGAUGAUUGGUGAAGUUUUAUAUAAACAAGGCAAGGAUGGAGUUUUACAACGCUAUAUUUAUCAGACUGAAGUGCAUAUUAUAUUGGAAGGUUGCCACUUGGAUAAUUGUAGUGGACAUUUUGAGGGAGACAGUAUAGCUCGUAAAGCUUUACAGGCAGGUUAUUGGUGGCCAACAAUGUUUGCAGAUGCCCACCAAUUUGUCCAUUAUUGUGACCCAUGUCGGAGAACGGGUCGACCUACUGGAACUUCAGCAAUGCUAUUGGUACCAAUUUUGGCUCAAGCGCCUUUUAAAAAAUGGAAAAUUGAUUUUGUGGGACCAAUUGCACUAACCUCGAGAAAUGGACAAAAACGGUAUAUACUGGUAGCAACGAAUUACGUAACAAAAUGGGCUGAAGUAGUAGCUAUGAAAACUGAUAGUACAAGUAUAGUAGAAAUCUUUUUGUAUGAAAAUAUUAUUACACGGUUCGGUUGUCCAUGAAAAUUGGUUAGUGAUCGGAGAACUCAUUUUAUCAUAGUACAAUCAAAGCACUCACGGCUGAAUACGAGAUAAAACAUCGGAAGACUACACUAUAUCACUCUAGAGCUAAUGGACAAACAGAAAAGACUAAUGAAAUUUUAUGUAAAAUCUUAACAAAAACAGGAGCGGGAACAGAUUGGGACACUAAGUUGUUUGCAACUUUAUGGGCCUAGCGUACUACGUAUAAAGUUACUACCAAUGCUACCCUUUUCUAAUUGGUUUAUGGCUAGGAAGUAAUAUUACCUAUUGAAUUGGAAGUCCAAAGUUUACGAAUUACUAUAGAUAAUAGAUUGAGAGAUCAGGAUUCAUUAUGGCACCGUUUAGAAGAAUUGAAAAAAUUGGAUGAAACAAGAGCCAAUGCAUUAAUGAUAAUGGAAACUAUACAAAAACAAAGGAAGACUAAUUAUGAAAGUAAGUUUAGACCAAAGGCUUUUAUGCCAAAUGAUUUGGUACUUCUUUAUGAUAGUCGAUUUAAAAAAAUUUUGAGAAAAUUUCAAGUUUGAUGGCAUGGACCAUAUUGAGUUAUUGACAGAUUUUCAAAUAGUUCAGUACAAUUGGAAGAUUUUGUGGAUACUAAAUUUAUGACACGGAUAAAUGGCAAUCGGUUUAAACUUUACUUUACAUAAACUCGGGACGAAUUUUCUGUUACAAAAGAGAGAGUCGACCAAAUUGAUUGGACCAUAGUAAGAAGUAGGAGGGGGGCUCUUGACAAGCAUCAUGUUUUCUUUUGUGGUUAAGAAAAAGAUGGAAAAUAUGGUGUUUGAGAAAGUAAGGAUGGAGACUGAUUGGAAAGAAUGGCAAAAGCAACUGUAGAUAGAGGUUGCGAUAUUACAGACUAAACUAGCCGUGUUAGUAAAGGAGGCCAAUAAUUUAGUGCAGAUCAAUAUGCCAUUUUUAGCAACAAUACCUUCGGAGAUACCUUUGAAAGGGAAAGAAGAAUGGUGAAAGUUGUUGGAGAAGCAUGACAACCAAAUUGCCCGACGUGAGUCUCAAGUGUGGGAAUUGGGUUUGUUGAAUGAAGAUGUGAUGGCGCAUUUGGAUGGAGAACCCUCAAAUAUUGAGGCAGACGACAAAGAUGUAGUAGAGGAGAAGGUCACCAAUUCAAAGGGUAGUAAGCCAAUGCCAUUGAGUAAAGAAGCCAAUGCUGCUACGUCUUUAUAAGUUGAGGCUAAAUAAUAUUUGCGAGGACGCUGCACAAUUAGAAGUGGGGCUAUGUAGAAUAGAUAAAUAAACUUUGUGAUAAGUUACUGGUUGGUUAUUGACAACCUUGAGAAUUAGAGUGAUGAUUAGGCAGUUUAGUUGGUAACAGUAGGUUGUUAGUAGAAUAAAUGGUUAAGAAUUCAAAGGGUCAUAACCUUUGGAAUCCGUUGGCCGAUGGAUCAUCUUUUUGGUAGGAUAAAUACGUUGAGAGUCAUAAGUCGAGAGCCAGACUGAGAGUCGUAAGCCGAGGUAAGCUUGCUGCUACCUCUUUGUUUUCUUUAUUAUUUGCUUAUGAAGAAUGGUGAUUGAGAGAAGUAUUGUUGAAUUGAUAAUCAUAGAAUGAAUUAUGGGUUGAAUUAAGAUGGAAGUAGUAAGCCUCGGUGUUUUGUAGUUUGAUACUUGAUUUCAGAUAGCUAGAAUAUAGUCAAUUGUGACAGAUCCAAUUCAUAUAACUAGUCUUUUCCCAUGUUUGAAUCCACCUCUAUUAGUUCAAUUGCUU